This 253-nucleotide ribosomal RNA is filed under the name uncultured bacterium. RNAcentral's name for it is "partial 16S ribosomal RNA". It matches the Rfam family "Bacterial small subunit ribosomal RNA", at positions 524 to 776 of the family's 1533-position model. The record is from RNAcentral.
GACGGAGGAUGCAAGCGUUAUCCGGAAUUAUUGGGCGUAAAGCGUACGUAGGCUGUUUUAUAAGUCUGUUGUCAAAGCCCGAGGCUCAACCUUGGAUCGGCAAUGGAAACUGUGAGACUAGAGAGAGAUAGGGGCAGGAGGAAUUCCAGGUGUAGCGGUGAAAUGCGUAGAUAUCUGGAAGAACACCAGUGGCGAAAGCGUCCUGCUGGAUCUCAACUGACGCUGAAGUACGAAAGCUAGGGGAGCGAAUGGG